GAUGAACGCUAGCUACAGGCUUAACACAUGCAAGUCGAGGGGAAACGACAUCGCAAGCUUGCUUUUGAUGGGCGUCGACCGGCGCACGGGUGAGUAACGCGUAUCCAACCUGCCCACCACUUGGGGAUAACCUUGCGAAAGUAAGACUAAUACCCAAUGAUAUCUCUAGAAGACAUCUGAAAGAGAUUAAAGCUUUAUAGGUGAUGGAUGGGGAUGCGUCUGAUUAGCUUGUUGGCGGGGUAACGGCCCACCAAGGCUACGAUCAGUAGGGGUUCUGAGAGGAAGGUCCCCCACAUUGGAACUGAGACACGGUCCAAACUCCUACGGGAGGCAGCAGUGAGGAAUAUUGGUCAAUGGGCGAGAGCCUGAACCAGCCAAGUAGCGUGCAGGAUGACGGCCCUAUGGGUUGUAAACUGCUUUUAUAAGGGAAUAAAGUGAGCCUCGUGAGGCUUUUUGCAUGUACCUUAUGAAUAAGGACCGGCUAAUUCCGUGCCAGCAGCCGCAGUAA
RNAcentral lists this ribosomal RNA (508 nucleotides) under uncultured bacterium. RNAcentral describes it as "partial 16S ribosomal RNA". It matches the Rfam family "Bacterial small subunit ribosomal RNA", at positions 28 to 523 of the family's 1533-position model. The record is from RNAcentral.